UACGUAGGGGGCUAGCGUUGUCCGGAAUCAUUGGGCGUAAAGCGCGUGUAGGCGGCUGGUUAGGUGUGAUGUGAAAUCUUCGGGCUCAACCCGAAAACUGCAUUGCAAACCGGCCUGGCUAGAGUGCAGGAGAGGGAAGCGGAAUUCCAGGUGUAGCGGUGAAAUGCGUAGAUAUCUGGAGGAACACCGGUGGCGAAGGCGGCGACCUGGUCCGAUACUGACGCUGAGGCGCGAAAGCGUGGGGAGCAAACAGG
Molecule: ribosomal RNA, 254 nt
Filed under: uncultured bacterium
Lineage: Bacteria
Description: partial 16S ribosomal RNA
Rfam family: Bacterial small subunit ribosomal RNA
Source: RNAcentral